This 492-nucleotide ribosomal RNA is filed under the name uncultured bacterium. Its description in RNAcentral is "partial 16S ribosomal RNA". It matches the Rfam family "Bacterial small subunit ribosomal RNA", at positions 29 to 507 of the family's 1533-position model. The record is from RNAcentral.
AGUGAACGCUGGCGGUAGGCCUAACACAUGCAAGUCGAACGGCAGCACAGUAAGAGCUUGCUCUUACGGGUGGCGAGUGGCGGACGGGUGAGGAAUACAUCGGAAUCUACUUUUUCGUGGGGGAUAACGUAGGGAAACUUACGCUAAUACCGCAUACGACCUACGGGUGAAAGCAGGGGAUCUUCGGACCUUGCGCGAUUGAAUGAGCCGAUGUCGGAUUAGCUAGUUGGCGGGGUAAAGGCCCACCAAGGCGACGAUCCGUAGCUGGUCUGAGAGGAUGAUCAGCCACACUGGAACUGAGACACGGUCCGGACUCCUACGGGAGGCAGCAGUGGGGAAUAUUGGACAAUGGGCGCAAGCCUGAUCCAGCCAUACCGCGUGGGUGAAGAAGGCCUUCGGGUUGUAAGGCCCUUUUGUUGGGAAAGAAAAGCAGCAGGUUAAUACCCCGCUGUUCUGACGGUACCCAAAGAAUAAGCACCGGCUAACUUCGUG